CGGGGAGUAGCUCAGCCUGGUAGAGCACCGGCUUUGGGAGCCGGGGGCCGCUGGUUCGAAUCCAGUCUCCCCGACCA
This 77-nucleotide transfer RNA is filed under the name Rhodospirillaceae bacterium. RNAcentral's name for it is "tRNA-Pro". It matches the Rfam family "tRNA". From Rfam's summary of the family: Transfer RNA (tRNA) molecules are approximately 80 nucleotides in length. Their secondary structure includes four short double-helical elements and three loops (D, anti-codon, and T loops). Further hydrogen bonds mediate the characteristic L-shaped molecular structure. tRNAs have two regions of fundamental functional importance: the anti-codon, which is responsible for specific mRNA codon recognition, and the 3' end, to which the tRNAs corresponding amino acid is attached (by aminoacyl-tRNA synthetases). tRNAs cope with the degeneracy of the genetic code in two manners: having more than one tRNA (with a specific anti-codon) for a particular amino acid; and 'wobble' base-pairing, i.e. permitting non-standard base-pairing at the 3rd anti-codon position. RNAcentral also lists the same sequence under 2 other names. Lineage: Bacteria; Pseudomonadati; Pseudomonadota; Alphaproteobacteria; Rhodospirillales; Rhodospirillaceae. The record is from RNAcentral.